Molecule: ribosomal RNA, 464 nt
Filed under: Vreelandella stevensii
Lineage: Bacteria; Pseudomonadati; Pseudomonadota; Gammaproteobacteria; Oceanospirillales; Halomonadaceae
Description: partial 16S ribosomal RNA
Rfam family: Bacterial small subunit ribosomal RNA
Source: RNAcentral
CCUACGGGAGGCUGCAGUGGGGAAUAUUGGACAAUGGGGGAACCCUGAUCCAGCCAUGCCGCGUGUGUGAAGAAGGCCCUCGGGUUGUAAAGCACUUUCAGUGAGGAAGAACGCCUGGUGGUUAAUACCCAUCAGGAAAGACAUCACUCACAGAAGAAGCACCGGCUAACUCCGUGCCAGCAGCCGCGGUAAUACGGAGGGUGCGAGCGUUAAUCGGAAUUACUGGGCGUAAAGCGCGCGUAGGUGGCUUGAUAAGCCGGUUGUGAAAGCCCCGGGCUCAACCUGGGAACGGCAUCCGGAACUGUCAAGCUAGAGUGCAGGAGAGGAAGGUAGAAUUCCCGGUGUAGCGGUGAAAUGCGUAGAGAUCGGGAGGAAUACCAGUGGCGAAGGCGGCCUUCUGGACUGACACUGACACUGAGGUGCGAAAGCGUGGGUAGCAAACAGGAUUAGAUACCCCUGUAGUC